UUCGGGUUCGAACUCGGGACCUUGUGCUUGCAAGGCAGGCGGAACUGAGCUAAAUUCUGGCCCAAUAUUUCUACCAUCAAUAAUUUUAUACCAGUAGACUAAUUUUGUUCUAAAUGCAUAUGCUCAUUUAUUGUAUCAAGACUAUCUGACAACCAUGAAAGGCUCCAUCCAGGACACCAGGAGCUAGCAAGUUGUCUCCUGAGAAGAAAAAGGGGUCCACUUGAGGAGGGGCUUGAUUUAUGGAAUGAACGAGUUGGCAUUAAUUGGAAUGCAGAGAUUUCUUUUAUGUUGUUCAAAAAUGGGAAAGGGAAGUUCCAUGCCAACCCACAUGUGCAGAUACCACCCGUGUGCACUGGCACCAAGUUCUAAAGAGCAAAAUGCUCCCCAGGUUCUAACUGUGACCUCCAUCACUUGACCAGUAAGAAGCCAUCCAGGGAGGAGACAGAUACCAGGGAGCCAGAGU
Molecule: long non-coding RNA, 463 nt
Filed under: Fukomys damarensis (Damara mole-rat)
Lineage: Eukaryota; Metazoa; Chordata; Mammalia; Rodentia; Bathyergidae
Description: lncRNA (ENSFDAG00000032629.1)
Source: RNAcentral